RNAcentral lists this microRNA (23 nucleotides) under Pristionchus pacificus. RNAcentral's name for it is "ppc-miR-8262-3p". Lineage: Eukaryota; Metazoa; Nematoda; Chromadorea; Rhabditida; Neodiplogasteridae. The record is from miRBase by way of RNAcentral.
UAUCGACACAUAUGGACUCCCAG